Molecule: transfer RNA, 71 nt
Filed under: Loxodonta africana (African savanna elephant)
Lineage: Eukaryota; Metazoa; Chordata; Mammalia; Proboscidea; Elephantidae
Rfam family: tRNA
About the family: Transfer RNA (tRNA) molecules are approximately 80 nucleotides in length. Their secondary structure includes four short double-helical elements and three loops (D, anti-codon, and T loops).
Source: Rfam by way of RNAcentral
ACAUUGGUGGUUCAAUGGUAGAAGUCCCACCUUCCAUGUGGGAGACCUGAGUUCAAUUUCCAGCCAACAUG